RNAcentral lists this ribosomal RNA (216 nucleotides) under uncultured Glomus. RNAcentral's name for it is "partial small subunit ribosomal RNA". It matches the Rfam family "Eukaryotic small subunit ribosomal RNA", at positions 569 to 787 of the family's 1831-position model. The record is from RNAcentral. Lineage: Eukaryota; Fungi; Glomeromycota; Glomeromycetes; Glomerales; Glomeraceae.
AGCAGCCGCGGUAAUUCCAGCUCCAAUAGCGUAUAUUAAAGUUGUUGCAGUUAAAAAGCUCGUAGUUGAAUUUCGGGGUUAGUAAGUUGGUCGUGCCUACGGUAUGCACUGGCUUUACUGAUCCCUCCUUCUUGAAGAACUGUAAUGUCAUUAAUUUGGUGUUGCAGGGAAACAGGACUGUUACUUUGAAAAAAUUAGAGUGUUUAAAGCAGGCUA